RNAcentral lists this ribosomal RNA (389 nucleotides) under uncultured bacterium. RNAcentral's name for it is "bacterial SSU rRNA". It matches the Rfam family "Bacterial small subunit ribosomal RNA", at positions 30 to 416 of the family's 1533-position model. The record is from RNAcentral.
AUUGAACGCUGGCGGCAUGCCUUACACAUGCAAGUCGAACGGCAGCACGGGACCUUGCUCCUGGUGGCGAGUGGCGAACGGGUGAGUAAUACAUCGGAACGUACCCUGAAGUGGGGGGAUAACGUAGCGAAAGUUACGCUAAUACCGCAUAUUCUGUGAGCAGGAAAGAGGGGGAUCGCAAGACCUCUUGCUUUAGGAGCGGCCGAUGUCGGAUUAGCUAGUUGGUGAGGUAAAGGCUCACCAAGGCGACGAUCCGUAGCGGGUCUGAGAGGAUGAUCCGCCACACUGGGACUGAGACACGGCCCAGACUCCUACGGGAGGCAGCAGUGGGGAAUUUUGGACAAUGGGCGCAAGCCUGAUCCAGCCAUGCCGCGUGAGUGAAGAAGGCC